This 511-nucleotide ribosomal RNA is filed under the name uncultured Acidobacteriota bacterium. RNAcentral describes it as "bacterial SSU rRNA". It matches the Rfam family "Bacterial small subunit ribosomal RNA", at positions 355 to 857 of the family's 1533-position model. Lineage: Bacteria; Pseudomonadati; Acidobacteriota. The record is from RNAcentral.
UGGGGAAUUGUUCGCAAUGGGCGCAAGCCUGACGACGCAACGCCGCGUGGAGGAUGAAGAUCUUCGGGUCGUAAACUCCUGUCGAAUGGGACGAACGGAUCGCGUGUGAACAACGCGUGAUCGUGACGGUACCGUUAAAGGAAACCCCGGCUAACUCCGUGCCAGCAGCCGCGGUAAUACGGGGGGGUAAGCGUUGUUCGGAAUUACUGGGCGUAAAGGGCUCGUAGGCGGCCAACUAAGUCAGACGUGAAAUCCCUCAGCUUAACUGGGGAACUGCGUCUGAUACUGGAUGGCUUGGAUCCGGAAGAGGGAUGCGGAAUUCCAGGUGUGGCGGUGAAAUGCGUAGAUAUCUGGAGGAACACCGGUGGCGAAGGCGGCAUCCUGGGCCGGUAUUGACGCUGAGGAGCGAAAGCCAGGGGAGCAAACGGGAUUAGAUACCCCGGUAGUCCUGGCCCUAAACGAUGAAUGCUUGGUGUAGCGGGUAUCGAUCCCUGCUGUGCCGAAGCUAACG